CGACUCUCGACAACGGAUAUCCCGGCUCUCGCAUCGAUGAAGAACGUAGCGAAAUGCGAUACUUGGUGUGAAUUGCAGAAUCCCGUGAACCAUCGAGUCUUUGAACGCAAGUUGCGCCCGAAGCCACUAGGUCGAGGGCACGUCUGCCUGGGUGUCACGC
RNAcentral lists this ribosomal RNA (160 nucleotides) under Pimpinella kyimbilaensis. Its description in RNAcentral is "5.8S ribosomal RNA". It matches the Rfam family "5.8S ribosomal RNA". From Rfam's summary of the family: 5.8S ribosomal RNA (5.8S rRNA) is a component of the large subunit of the eukaryotic ribosome. Lineage: Eukaryota; Viridiplantae; Streptophyta; Magnoliopsida; Apiales; Apiaceae. The record is from RNAcentral.